UACGGGGGGUGCAAGCGUUGUCCGGAAUCACUGGGCGUAAAGGGUCCGUAGGCGGUGCGGUAAGUCGGGAGUGAAAUCUCUGGGCUUAACUCAGAGGCUGCUUCCGAAACUACCGUGCUAGAGUGCGAGAGAGGCAAGUGGAAUUGCGGGUGUAGCGGUGAAAUGCGUAGAUAUCCGCAGGAACAUCCGAGGCGAAAGCGGCUUGCUGGAUCGCAACUGACGCUGAGGGACGAAAGCUAGGGGAGCAAACAGG
Molecule: ribosomal RNA, 253 nt
Filed under: uncultured bacterium
Lineage: Bacteria
Description: partial 16S ribosomal RNA
Rfam family: Bacterial small subunit ribosomal RNA
Source: RNAcentral